This 249-nucleotide ribosomal RNA is filed under the name Agaricales sp. RNAcentral describes it as "partial large subunit ribosomal RNA". The record is from RNAcentral. Lineage: Eukaryota; Fungi; Basidiomycota; Agaricomycetes; Agaricales.
AAGCGCUUGAAGUCAGUCGUGUCGGCCAGGGAUCAACCUUGCCUUUUCUCGCUUGGCGUAUUUCCUGGUCGACAGGUCAGCAUCAAUUUUGACCGGUGGACAAAGGUCUUGGGAAUGUGGCAUCCUCGGAUGUGUUAUAGCUCUCGGUCGCAUGCAUCGGUCAGGGUUGAGGAACUCAGCACGCCGAAAAGGCCGGGUCUUCUGACCACGUAUUCGUGCUUAGGAUGCUGACACAAUGGCUUCAAUCGA